This 74-nucleotide transfer RNA is filed under the name Podarcis lilfordi (Lilford's wall lizard). Its description in RNAcentral is "tRNA.Ile". Lineage: Eukaryota; Metazoa; Chordata; Lepidosauria; Squamata; Lacertidae. The record is from RNAcentral.
AUCUGGAUAGCUCCGUUGGUUAGAGUGUGGUGCUGAUAAUACCAAGGUCACAGGUUCGAUCCCCAUAUGGGGCA